This 407-nucleotide ribosomal RNA is filed under the name uncultured bacterium. RNAcentral describes it as "partial 16S ribosomal RNA". It matches the Rfam family "Bacterial small subunit ribosomal RNA", at positions 30 to 526 of the family's 1533-position model. The record is from RNAcentral.
AUUGAACGCUGGCGGCAGGCCUAACACAUGCAAGUCGAGCGGAGCGGCGGACGGGUGAGUAAUGCCUGGGAAUCUGCCUGGCAGUGGGGGCUAACGUCCGGAAACGGGCGCUAAUACCGCAUACUAUCAGCAGAGCCUAGGUGGGGUUAGCUAGUUGGGGGGGUACAGGCCUACCAAGGCGACGAGCCGUAACUGGUCUGAGAGGAUGAUCCGUCACACUGGAACUGAGACACGGUCCAGACUCCUACGUGAGGCAGCAGUGGGGAAUAUUGGACAAUGGGCGAAAGCCUGAUCCAGCCAUGCCGCGUGUGUGAAGAAGGUCUUCGGAUUGUAAAGCACUUUAAGUUGGGAGGCGUUACCAACAGAAUAAGCACCGGCUAACUUCGUGCCAGCAGCCGCGGUAAUUC